GGGGAUUUAGCUCAGUUGGGAGAGCACCUGCCUUGCAAGCAGGGGGUCACGAGUUCGAAUCUCGUAAUCUCCA
This 73-nucleotide transfer RNA is filed under the name Herbinix hemicellulosilytica. RNAcentral describes it as "tRNA-Ala". It matches the Rfam family "tRNA". Rfam says of the family: Transfer RNA (tRNA) molecules are approximately 80 nucleotides in length. Their secondary structure includes four short double-helical elements and three loops (D, anti-codon, and T loops). Further hydrogen bonds mediate the characteristic L-shaped molecular structure. tRNAs have two regions of fundamental functional importance: the anti-codon, which is responsible for specific mRNA codon recognition, and the 3' end, to which the tRNAs corresponding amino acid is attached (by aminoacyl-tRNA synthetases). tRNAs cope with the degeneracy of the genetic code in two manners: having more than one tRNA (with a specific anti-codon) for a particular amino acid; and 'wobble' base-pairing, i.e. permitting non-standard base-pairing at the 3rd anti-codon position. The record is from RNAcentral. Lineage: Bacteria; Bacillati; Bacillota; Clostridia; Lachnospirales; Lachnospiraceae.